Molecule: ribosomal RNA, 1401 nt
Filed under: termite gut metagenome
Description: bacterial SSU rRNA
Rfam family: Bacterial small subunit ribosomal RNA
Source: RNAcentral
AGAGUUUGAUCCUGGCUCAGAUUGAACGCUGGCGGCAUGCCUUACACAUGCAAGUCGAACGGCAGCGCGGACUUCGGUCUGGCGGCGAGUGGCGAACGGGUGAGUAAAGUAUCGGAACGUACCGUGUAGAGGGGGAUAACGCAGCGAAAGUUGCGCUAAUACCGCAUAAACUGUGAGCAGCAAAGCAGGGGAUCGCAAGACCUUGCGCUAGACGAGCGGCCGAUAUCAGAUUAGCUAGUUGGUGAGGUAAAGGCCCACCAAGGCAACGAUCUGUAGCGGGUCUGAGAGGAUGAUCCGCCACACUGGACUACGGGAGGCAGCAGUGGGGAAUUUUGGACAAUGGGGGCAACCCUGAUCCAGCCAUGCCGCGUGAGUGAAGAAGGCCUUCGGGUUGUAAAGCUCUUUCGGCCGGGAAGAAAUCGUGGAGGCUAAAACCCUUCAUGGAUGACGGUACCGGAACAAGAAGCACCGGCUAACUACGUGCCAGCAGCCGCGGUAAUACGUAGGGUGCGAGCGUUAAUCGGAAUUACUGGGCGUAAAGCGUGCGCAGGCGGUUUUGUAAGACAGGCGUGAAAUCCCCGGGCUCAACCUGGGAACUGCGCUUGUGACUGCAAGGCUAGAGUACGGCAGAGGGGGGUGGAAUUCCACGUGUAGCAGUGAAAUGCGUAGAGAUGUGGAGGAACACCAAUGGCGAAGGCAGCCCCCUGGGUCGAUACUGACGCUCAUGCACGAAAGCGUGGGUAGCAAACAGGAUUAGAUACCCUGGUAGUCCACGCCCUAAACGAUGUCAACUAGGUGUUGGGUGGGUAAAACCAUUUAGUACCGUAGCUAACGCGUGAAGUUGACCGCCUGGGGAGUACGGCCGCAAGGUUAAAACUCAAAGGAAUUGACGGGGACCCGCACAAGCGGUGGAUGAUGUGGAUUAAUUCGAUGCAACGCGAAAAACCUUACCUACCCUUGACAUGCCAGGAAUCCUUGAGAGAUUGAGGAGUGCCCGAAAGGGAGCCUGGACACAGGUGCUGCAUGGCUGUCGUCAGCUCGUGUCGUGAGAUGUUGGGUUAAGUCCCGCAACGAGCGCAACCCUUGUCGUUAAUUGCCAUCAUUUAGUUGGGCACUUUAACGAGACUGCCGGUGACAAGCCGGAGGAAGGUGGGGAUGACGUCAAGUCCUCAUGGCCCUUAUGGGUAGGGCUUCACACGUCAUACAAUGGUCGGUACAGAGGGUAGCCAAGCCGCGAGGUGGAGCCAAUCCCAGAAAGCCGAUCGUAGUCCGGAUCGUAGUCUGCAACUCGACUACGUGAAGUCGGAAUCGCUAGUAAUCGCGGAUCAGCAUGUCGCGGUGAAUACGUUCCCGGGUCUUGUACACACCGCCCGUCACACCAUGGGAGCGGGUUCCGCCAGA